AAUGUGAUCCGCCUUAUCGCCUUGUUCAGAAAGUAUUCUGAGCGGGGAGGAAAGUCCGGGCAAUGCAGAGCGCCGUACUUCCUAACAGGAAGGGGCAUUGUUGGCGACGACAGUGCUACAGAAAGUGCAACAGAAAAUAAACUACCCGCAAUGCUUCUGCAUUGGGGGAAAAGGUGAAAAGGUGGGGUAAGAGCCCACCGCUUCAAUGGUGACAUUGGGGGCACGGUAAACCUUACGGAUUGAAAGAUCAAAUAUGCCAUGAUUCAGGGGCUGCUCGUCUCUGUAGGCUGCUUCGGCGGUCUCGUUGUGGUGGGUAGAUUGAUAGAACCUGGUGGCGACAUCAGGUCCAGAUAAAUGAUAAGGGUCUUCCGACUUGUCGGGAGGCACAGAACCCGGCUUACAGGAUCAUAUUUUCC
Molecule: RNase P RNA, 416 nt
Filed under: Imperialibacter sp. EC-SDR9
Lineage: Bacteria; Pseudomonadati; Bacteroidota; Cytophagia; Cytophagales; Flammeovirgaceae
Also listed under: 2 other names
Description: Bacterial RNase P class A
Rfam family: Bacterial RNase P class A
About the family: Ribonuclease P (RNase P) is a ubiquitous endoribonuclease, found in archaea, bacteria and eukarya as well as chloroplasts and mitochondria. Its best characterised activity is the generation of mature 5'-ends of tRNAs by cleaving the 5'-leader elements of precursor-tRNAs.
Source: Rfam by way of RNAcentral